RNAcentral lists this ribosomal RNA (253 nucleotides) under uncultured bacterium. RNAcentral's name for it is "partial 16S ribosomal RNA". It matches the Rfam family "Bacterial small subunit ribosomal RNA", at positions 524 to 776 of the family's 1533-position model. The record is from RNAcentral.
UACGGAAGGGGCAAGCGUUGUUCGGAAUCAUUGGGCGUAAAGGGCGCGUAGGUGGUUCUGUAUGUCUACCGUGAAAGCGUACGGCUCAACCGUAUUUUGUCGGUGGAAACUGCAGGACUUGAGGCUGGGAGGGGCUGGUGGAAUUCCCUGUGUAGCGGUGAAAUGCGUAGAGAUGGGGGAGAACACUCGUGGCGAAGGCGGCCAGCUAGACCAGUUCUGACACUGAGACGCGACAGCGUGGGGAGCAAACAGG